UUAACUAUUAAAUAGUACUCAGACGACAGUAACAUUUAGAGUUUGGUAAGUCUCUGGUCGGUGCGUGACACCACCCGGAGGCAGCGCCGGCAGAGCGGCCAAAGCAACAUGAUAUAUGAUACAAGGGUGGGGUUUCUACCCGUGAGGGCAGGAAACACUGUAAUGAUCCUUCCGCAGGUUCACCUACGGAAA
RNAcentral lists this unclassified non-coding RNA (192 nucleotides) under uncultured fungus. Its description in RNAcentral is "sequence contains ITS1". Lineage: Eukaryota; Fungi. The record is from RNAcentral.